CGGAAUUUUACACCGUUGUUGAAAAUUCAUACACCCAUUCGGCUGCGCCUCAGGGUGUAUGAAUUUUCAACAUUCGGCUGCGCCUCAGGGUGUAUGAAUUUUCAACAACGGUGUAAAAUUCUG
This 123-nucleotide small RNA is filed under the name Mytilus galloprovincialis (Mediterranean mussel). Lineage: Eukaryota; Metazoa; Mollusca; Bivalvia; Mytilida; Mytilidae. The record is from RNAcentral.